UUAAGUCCCGCAACGAGCGCAACCCCUCGCUGCCAGUUGCCAACGGGUAGAGCCGGGCACUCUGGCGGGACUGCCAUCGACAAGAUGGAGGAAGGUGGGGAGUGACGUCAAGUCAUCAUGGCCCUUAUGUCCAGGGCGACACACGUGCUACAAUGGCCGGCACAGCGGGAAGCGAGGCAGUGAUGCCAAGCGGAUCCCUUAAAGCCGGUCUCAGUUCGGAUUGAAGUCUGCAACUCGACUUCAUGAAGCUGGAAUCGCUAGUAAUCGCAGAUCAGCCAAGCUGCGGUGAAUACGUUCCCGGGCCUU
RNAcentral lists this ribosomal RNA (306 nucleotides) under uncultured Synergistaceae bacterium. RNAcentral's name for it is "bacterial SSU rRNA". It matches the Rfam family "Bacterial small subunit ribosomal RNA", at positions 1080 to 1382 of the family's 1533-position model. Lineage: Bacteria; Thermotogati; Synergistota; Synergistia; Synergistales; Synergistaceae. The record is from RNAcentral.